Molecule: long non-coding RNA, 2973 nt
Organism: Solea solea (common sole)
Lineage: Eukaryota; Metazoa; Chordata; Actinopteri; Pleuronectiformes; Soleidae
Exons: 3
Source: RefSeq, a predicted model, not a curated record
GUCCUCCAGUAAAAGGACAGGCUCUUACACUCCAAGAAAGCUACUGCCGCUCUCUAGGGCUGCUCUGACAUGGGUUUCAUGUGUUUCUUUUGUUCUGAGGUUGAAAGUUCCCAACCUCACCUCAUGUGAUUGAAUGUCCAAAGCUGGUGCUGUACAGAAACAACAAAAGUAAGGGCCUGUUAAGGUCUCCACAAAGCCUACCAAUACACAGCACAAAGUUUGUGGGUUUUGCAGGAGGUUCUGAAAAAUGUCCACUAGAACCUUGAGCAUGAGAUUUUGAGAGACAAUCAGUUAAGUUGUGAUGUUCUACCAAAAAAAAUCAUUGGUUUAAUGCUUAUUACAGGGAGAAUUGUUCUAAUUUUAACAAAGCUCCUGCCAAACUGUGGUUGAUUACAUCUGGGAGGUCAUUUAGAGCACCAGCACUGCAGUUGCUAGAUAAAUGUAAAGUUAGGCUCCUGGAAUAUGAUUUACAAAUCAAACCUAUCUCUGCACAUAUUACUUCUGAUUUGGAACAGAUAAAAUUUGUACAACAAUAAAGAACUAUUUUUCCUUGACUAUUGGGACAUAACUACUAUUAUUACUGACCUUAUCACCCUUGCUCCACUGCUCAACUGCAGAUCCUAAUGCACAUUUAAUAUUGUGAGUCUCCUUUUCCCCUCAUUCUGACCCUCACAACUUCUUUGCAGUCAACACAAUUUGAGAACUGAACCCAAGAGGAUUCGCUUUACCCUCUCUCAUCUGUCAUGUGGUUGUAUCUUCUGGUGUUAAACAUGACGACAGACAGAGAGCAGUGACUUCAAACUGAACCCAGCUAAAGCCUACAAGCUUCACUUGUGUUAAUAAUGUAUGAUGAGGGGCAAUUUGAAGUUGGAAUGUAAUAUGAAAGUGUAAAAUAUUCAUGAGCAAACAGGAUUAUGAAUGCAAAACCUAACAAGACUAUGAUGUGGGGAUAAUGACACACACAUGUAUUUAGUAUUUCUAUCUAUUUUUAGACUUGCAUUGACUGAUUGCCUGAUCCCUGACCUGAGCCAUAACCACAAUUUAAAUUUUAGCCCUAAAAUUAACCUGUUCCUCAGAAAUGAGGCUCUGUGUGGACCAGGUUUGGGACUAUGAUCAACUACUUGCCCUGACAAGGUCAAUGUUUAGCCCACAGGAGCUCUCUCGUCUACCAGUUACCCAGUUGGACAACUCCAGUUGUCACUCUCCUUGCGUAGGUAGAACCCAGGGGAUGAACUGGUGAGUGUCUGUACUGCAGAAAUCUGUGUCAUUUCCUUGCAGGUUGUCCAGUGUGGGCAAAGGUCUGGGCCCAUCAGUAAAGUGGGGAUACUGAUGGGCCAGAGUGGGACCUCCUCUGUUUUCUGUUGAAUGCCAGUCUCUGUCUGGAUGGAUCAGUUUUCCCCCUGUCAGUUCUCAUUGAUUCAGGUGCUGAGGAGAACUAAAUGGAACAGGAACUGGCUAAACAACUUCUGAGCAGUCAUCUCUCACCAAGGUGGUGCAGUGGGGACAUUCUUCUCACGUCUCAUGUCACCCUGGUGCCAACAGAACUCUGUCACUUAUCCGUCAUCAUUUCUGGUGGCCCACUAUGGAAGCUGAAUUUGUCGCUGCUUGUUCUACAUGUACCUGCAGUAAAGCAUCUCAUAAAGUCCCAUCUGGUUUAUUGUGCCUGCUUCCUGUCCCUGACCAGCCCUGGUCCCACAUAGCCUACAACUUUGUUACUGGUCUACCUCCCUCUCAAGGUAACACAAUAAUCCUCCUAUUGUUAAACACCUCUCUAAAGCAGCUGAUUUCAUUCCACUACCCAUAUUACCCACGGCCUCUGAAAGAGCUGACCUUGUCACUAAUCAUGUAUUCAGCAUCCAUGGCACUCCCCUGGACAUUGUAUCUGAUCAAGGGCACAGUUUGUUUCUUAGGUGUGGAGAACAUUCUGUUUGACCCUUGGUGUAGCAGUCAGUCUCUCCUCUGGCUUCAUCCUCAGACCUGUGUUGUAGAGAACAAUCCUUCCUCCUGUAGUACUUACCUUCCCUGGGUGGAGUACACGCACAACUCCUUGGUCUCCUCUGCCAUCAAGCUUUUCCACCAACAGGAGAAGAAUUGUGGUCCUGUCAGUCCAGGAGCACCUGGGGUGAUGCUGCGAAAUCUGGUAGGACACUUGGGCUGCACUACAACGCUCGUCUGAGCUUGCCCAACAGUCAGCAAAUCAUCACAGCAACCUGUACUCUGAAGUGACCCCCUUCCUGCCUGGACGGACUCUCCCCUCCGACUUCAAGGGCAAGCUUCUCUCAUCACUCCACAUCAUGACCAGCUAUUUUCAAAGCGUCCCUGACCGAGAACUUGUCAAACAUCAAGACUGAGUUGCAGGCAGUGAAGUCGGAGCUAAGUGGCAGUAUUACAAACAUCCAGUCUGAUGUGCGUGCUCUGAAGGACACCAUAGGUGAAAUGGAAACAUCACUCUCCACCUACUAUGUUACAAUAUCUGUCAGCAGAUUUGAUAAGAUUGGACAAUAAAUGCAAUGAUUUGGAGGUGAGAUCUCGGCGCAAUAACAUACGAUUAGUGGGGAUUCCCGAGGAUUUUUCCACCUCUUCUACUGCUACAGCUGUUUCCUCUUUGCUCAAGGGGGCUUUUAAGGAGAAGGAGCCUCUCGUGGAGAGCGCCCUCGCCCCAUAGUCGCUCAUCGACACUAUCAUACGGACUGUGUGGACAUAUUGUGCCGAGCCAGGGCCCGGCACAAUAUGUCCAGUGUUUUUGUCUCUUCUUUCUUUCUUUUUUUUCUACAUUCAGUCUAUUUCUCAUUUCUUUCUAAAAAACAUAUGGCCACUAAUGCUAGCAAUGCUCAUGUACCACAUAUUGGGUCUUCUGUGACAUUUUUGAACUGGAAUAUUAAAUGCAUGGGGAGUCCAAUUAAGACAUGGAGGAUGUAUGCUCAUUUGAAACGUCUUAAGGCUGACAGCGUUUCUGCAGGAAGCCCACAUGCG